CAGGCUGGUUGGACGGUCGCGGCCUGGUCAUCCAGGUCGAGGAAAGUCCGCACUCCACAAGGCACGGCGUCGGCUAAUUACCGGGGCGGGGUAGCUCCGCAAGAAGUCAACCUGCCGGAUGAGGGCCACAGAAACAAACAGCCGGGCUCCCCUAGAGCCAGGUGAUGGUGAAAAGGUGGUGUAAGAGACCACCGGCGUUCACAGUAAUGUGGGCGGCCAGGUAACCCCCGCCGGGAGCAAGGCCAAACAGGGAUGAGUCCGUCUUCGGGCGGCAGGAGGCUGCCCGUCUCCUCACAGUCCCGGGUAGGCUGCCAGAACGGCGCGGUAACGCGUCGUCCAGAUAGAUGAUCGCCCAGGGGUGGAGUAUCUCCACACCCGGACAGAAUGCGGCUUAUAGAUCGGCCUGAGGC
This 410-nucleotide RNase P RNA is filed under the name Chloroflexi bacterium GWB2_49_20. RNAcentral's name for it is "RNase P RNA component class A". It matches the Rfam family "Bacterial RNase P class A". Rfam says of the family: Ribonuclease P (RNase P) is a ubiquitous endoribonuclease, found in archaea, bacteria and eukarya as well as chloroplasts and mitochondria. Its best characterised activity is the generation of mature 5'-ends of tRNAs by cleaving the 5'-leader elements of precursor-tRNAs. Cellular RNase Ps are ribonucleoproteins. RNAcentral also lists the same sequence under 3 other names. The record is from RNAcentral. Lineage: Bacteria; Bacillati; Chloroflexota.